UGUUAAAAUUUCUGUUCAUUUGUACUGUUAAAAACUAGCAUGAUUGAUAGAAUAAUUAGAUAAUGACAUGUAGUAUACCCGUGUACCUCAUAUUGAUGUAGAAAUAUCAAUUUUUAACAAUUAAAAUUGAUGGAACUUUUAACA
Gossypium hirsutum (cotton) is the source of this 144-nucleotide non-coding RNA. The record is from Rfam. Lineage: Eukaryota; Viridiplantae; Streptophyta; Magnoliopsida; Malvales; Malvaceae.